GAGUUUGAUCAUGGCUCAGAUUGAACGCUGGCGGCAUGCCUUACACAUGCAAGUCGAACGGCAGCACGGGAGCUUGCUCCUGGUGGCGAGUGGCGAACGGGUGAGUAAUGCAUCGGAACGUAUCCUGGAGUGGGGGAUAACGUAGCGAAAGUUACGCUAAUACUGCAUAUUCUGUGAGCAGGAAAGCGGGGGACCUUCGGGCCUCGCGCUCUUGGAGCGGCCGAUGUCGGAUUAGCUAGUUGGUGAGGUAAAGGCUCACCAAGGCGACGAUCCGUAGCAGGUCUGAGAGGAUGAUCUGCCACACUGGAACUGAGACACGGUCCAGACUCCUACGGGAGGCAGCAGUGGGGAAUUUUGGACAAUGGGGGCAACCCUGAUCCAGCCAUGCCGCGUGAGUGAAGAGGGCCU
This 408-nucleotide ribosomal RNA is filed under the name bacterium enrichment culture clone ALO1_GLFRUDD03FOY25. Its description in RNAcentral is "bacterial SSU rRNA". It matches the Rfam family "Bacterial small subunit ribosomal RNA", at positions 9 to 417 of the family's 1533-position model. The record is from RNAcentral.